Long non-coding RNA from Brachypodium distachyon (stiff brome), 1078 nucleotides. RefSeq lists it as uncharacterized. NCBI's taxonomy places the organism in Eukaryota, Viridiplantae, Streptophyta, Magnoliopsida, Poales, Poaceae. The record is from RefSeq and is a predicted model, not a curated record. The transcript is spliced from 2 exons.
UUGUGAUUUUUGUUGGCAGACAUCUGCUAUAUUUUUGUAAGAAGUGGAAGUUGCUUCUGUUUGAAAUGGGUUUGGCAAUUUGUGGGUGUUUAUUAUAGGUUGUUAAACCUUCAGCACAUUCGUUCCAUGUGUGAAGUUCCUUAAUCGCAUGCACUGGAAUGAACUUUCACCAUUUAUAGCUUCAAAUAACAUAGUAACUGUUUGUGAAAUUGAUGUUUAAGAGCCUGUUUGGUAGCACUCCACUUCACCUAAACUCCACUUACCUCUAAAAUUCACUUCACUUCAGCUCCACUCCACUAAAAAAUGUGUUUUGGACUCAAAUCAGCUCCAGCACAUUUUCCUUGUUGCUGUUCCUACCAUGAUGGAUGGAUCUCAUACGAGAUUGCUUCACGUGAUGGUGAUUGGAAAGAGGAAUAGGAGAAGAACGCCUGCUGCCUUCUGCCCUUCUGGUUCCAGGCGCAAUCGACGGAGAAGAGCAAUUAGAGAAAAAGGGUCUUGCUUCCGAGGCAGCAAGGACCUUCAGGGACAGUAGUGGCGAGGUGCUGGUGGAGGGGGUGACGGCUUGGCGGCGCUGCAGUCCAGAGAAGCAGCGGCGACUCCCCGUGGCGGCCGCGAAUCGAGGCAGGCUCGCGGGGGAUCGAGGGCGGGCUCGCGGGAGACCAAGGGCGUGCUCGCCGGAGAUGGAGGGAGGCGGGAGCGCCGGAGAUGGAGUGUGGUCGGCUCUGCUAGGGCUGUAGAUGAGCCGCCAUGGCUCCGCCCAUCUCUGUUCUGCCCGAGACCUGUCGAUAGGAGGGAGAUGAGGGGACUGGGUUCACGGGAUAGAGAGCAUAACGGUUUGGUUCACUAAUGGCAUUGGUGGGUAAUUUACUCCAAGUUUAGGUGAAGUGAAGUAGGUGAAGCACCUCUUUCCUGACUCCAGUAAAAUGAACUAGAGAGUAUACUGCUCCACUUCAUCUAACACAUGGAGUUUAGAGUGUUUGGGGCAACUUCACUGGCUUCACUGAUGAAGCUGUGAAGUGGAGCUGUACCAAAUAGGCUCUAAGUUCAAGAAAAGGAGUAUCAAGAUAAAUCUGUCAUA